RNAcentral lists this ribosomal RNA (500 nucleotides) under uncultured bacterium. RNAcentral describes it as "partial 16S ribosomal RNA". It matches the Rfam family "Bacterial small subunit ribosomal RNA", at positions 30 to 523 of the family's 1533-position model. The record is from RNAcentral.
AUUGAACGCUGGCGGAAUGCUUUACACAUGCAAGUCGAACGGCAGCACGGACUUCGGUCUGGUGGCGAGUGGCGAACGGGUGAGUAAUGUAUCGGAACGUGCCCAGUCGUGGGGGAUAACGCAGUGAAAAUUACGCUAAUACCGCAUACGAUAUAUGGAUGAAAGCGGGGGAUCGCAAGACCUCGCGCGAUUGGAGCGGCCGAUAUCAGAUUAGGUAGUUGGUGGGGUAACGGCACACCAAGCCAAAGAUCUGUGGCUGGUAUGAGAGGACGACCAGCGACACUGGAACUGAGACACGGUCCAGACUCCUACGGGGGGCAGCAGUGGGGAAUUUUGGACAAUGGGCGAAAGCCUGAUCCAGCCAUUCCGCGUGCAGGAUGAAGGCCCUCGGGUUGUAAACUGCUUUUGUACAGAACGAAAAGGUUUCUACUAAUACUAGGAGCUCAUGACGGUACUGUAAGAAUAAGCACCGGCUAACUACGUGCCAGCAGCCGCCGUAA